GUGGGGAAUUUUACGCAAUGGGGGAAACCCUGACGUAGCGACACCGCGUGAGCGAAGAAGCCCCUUGGGGUGUAAAGCUCUGUCAGCUGGAACGAAAAAAAUGACGGUACCAGCAGAGGAAGCAUCGGCUAACUACGUGCCAGCAGCCGCGGUAAGACGUAGGAUGCGAGCGUUGUCCGGAUUUAUUGGGCGUAAAGAGUUCGUAGGUGGUUUGUCAAGUCUGAUGUUAAAGAUCGGGGCUCAACCCUGGGACUGCAUUGGAUACUGGCAGACUUGAGUGUGGUAGAGGCUAGUGGAAUUCCCAGUGUAGCGGUGAAAUGCGUAGAUAUUGGGAAGAACACCGGUGGCGUAGGCGACUAGCUGGGCCAUAACUGACACUGAGGAACGAAAGCCAGGGUAGCGAAUGGGAUUAGAAACCCCAGUAGUCC
This 428-nucleotide ribosomal RNA is filed under the name uncultured bacterium. RNAcentral describes it as "bacterial SSU rRNA". It matches the Rfam family "Bacterial small subunit ribosomal RNA", at positions 354 to 796 of the family's 1533-position model. The record is from RNAcentral.